This 230-nucleotide ribosomal RNA is filed under the name uncultured bacterium. Its description in RNAcentral is "partial 16S ribosomal RNA". It matches the Rfam family "Bacterial small subunit ribosomal RNA", at positions 104 to 334 of the family's 1533-position model. The record is from RNAcentral.
CGGGGUGAGUAACGCGUGGGUAACCUGCCUUGUACAGGGGGAUAACAGUUGGAAACGGUGGCUAAUACCGCAUAAUGUCUACGGACCAAAGCAGGGGCUCUUCGGACCUUGCACUAUCGGAUGAACCCAUAUGGGAUUAGCUAGUAGGUGGGGUAAAGGCUCACCUAGGCGACGAUCUCUAGCUGGUCUGAGAGGAUGAUCAGCCACACUGGGACUGAGACACGGCCCAG